Molecule: long non-coding RNA, 3335 nt
Filed under: Homo sapiens (human)
Lineage: Eukaryota; Metazoa; Chordata; Mammalia; Primates; Hominidae
Description: HSALNT0050057
Source: RNAcentral
GUAAUUACCUACAGAAUGUUUAGGGGGACUGGGAGCAAAAACAAUCCCCUCUUUCAGAAACCAAUCCUGGAAGGUGCUGGAAGGUUGUACUAGCUGUGAAAGUCAGAGGCCACCAGGCAGCUAUCGUGAGACCAAAGGCAGUAGUCAGCUCAGGCAAGCCGGUUUCCUUAUUUAUGUCAAAUUCCUCAGUCUUGGGUCUCCUUAUCUUUUAAAUAAGGAGUUAGAAUAGAAUUUGAGGGCUGUUCACUCAGGCAUCCAUGGUGGCUGCAGCAUAAGGAGUGUGUGGUGUCAGGAUGGGAAGGGCAACAUGGAGACUGCAUGGCCAUUGACGUCUGAAAGUCUCUGGUUGCCAAAAAGAAUCUAUCUACAACAGCAUUCAUCCUGACAGCAGCCAACAGGCAGCCUAGACCUGGCAUGCCACAGCUCCUCUAGGCUCUGAACCCCUCUCAGCUGAGCCUGGUAGAUGCCAGCUGACCGGCUGCAGCCCCUGAGUAGAGGUUGGCUGUCCUAGCAAUAGAGUAGGGCGGGGGCACAGCAGACAUGGGACCAUCAUCUGGAUUCCUAGACGUGCAACUGCAAGCUUAGAAGAAAUAAAGGAAAUAUCCCAGGAGCAAAAACAAAACACACACAUGCUCCUCUCAAGAGUCACUGGCAUCCCAGCUGAAAAGUCAGCUCUACACCUAUGGGACCUAUGGGCCUGUUUCUGAGCUCUGUUUUGUCUCUUUGGUCUGAGUGUCUAUCUGAGGCCAAUACCACAGUACCAAAUGCGAUUGCUUUAGAGGAAGUCUUGAAAUCAGAUGAGGCUGAAGGCUGUUGAAUUAUGAGAAAGCGUCAUUUGAAGAGAUGGAUGCCUGUGACCCCGCCAGGCUCUGCAGACCUGGAGGCGGCUCCAGAUCUGGGGUGUGCGGCGCAUUGUGUGUCCAACAGGUGAUUAACUCUGCUGGUGACAUGUGUUUUUAGAUAUGUGUGUCUUUUCUAUGAGAGUAAAUCAUAAAGCCCACAGGAUGUGCAAGCAGCCAUUCUCGCUGGCCAGGCGGUGUUAGCGCUUGCAACGCACAUAGAUUAUAUCCAGGAGGAUGCAGUCAAUACUUUCUGGGUCCUUUUUAGGUUUUGGGGGCUUUGCAACACGCUUUACACUGCCCCUCAUAAACCCGUCCUAACUGUGCGUUCCAGAAAAUGUGCAGUUUCUUAAGUUUAGGAAUUUUUUUUACGGCUUUUAUUUUGAAUGCUUGGAUUCUUAACUUCUGGUCCCAGUGCAGGUUCAUAAACAGACAUGGGGACAGAGGUCUGCCUGGCCAGAGCUUAGUUCUGAGGGACACGCUUCGGCCAUCCGGAGAGAGGGCCUGCUCCCCAGGCUGAGGAGACAACGGCCACGCCGGGGAGCACCACUCCCAGUCAGGGCCUAAAGCGUGGAGCCUGGGAAGAGGGGGCUUGCUCCUCCGCCUGCUCCUGGCAGUACACCCCAGGUCCCCCCGUUACCUAGGGAAUGGCGCUGAGCAGGGCAGGUCCCAGGGCGCCAUGGAGAGAAGGAUGUCAGCCGCAAAGCCCUUGGGCGACCAGGCCCAGAGCCGCCCACUUGGGACAAGCCGCCAGGAGCAAGGGCACAGCUUUCUUCUGGGUCUCGCAGGCCCCUGGCUCUGCACAAAUGGUGGGAGGGACCGAUCCUACCCUGGAACCGUAGAACCUCGUCCAGCUCUGAGUCAGGAGCCAUGGGGGCCAUGGCCUUCCGGGCCUGCUGACCUGAGUAAGGGUCCCAGCACCGCUUCCAAGGCCGGGACAAACGCCUGCUCCUAGUGGGUCCCGCGUUGUUCCCGCUUGUUAUCUAAGAGAUGCGGUCAGCCCUUCGGAAGCCCUCCGACCCCGCCCAACCCCCACACUUCUCCGGCCGCUGCUCCUCUUCCCCCAUUCAAGCCAGUCUGGCCUCCGGCUCUGUUCAGAGCAAGCCCAGCCUCCUUGUCAUGGACUGGAAGGACCCCUGGCUCCAGGCUCCCGUCCUGCUCACACCCAGGAGUGUGGGCCACGCACUCCCGGAACCUAACUGUGGGUGAAUGCUGGCCCUGGCUCCAGGCUCCCGUCCUGCUCACACCCAGGAGUGUGGGCUGUGCACUCCGGGAACCUAACUGGGGCUGGAGCUCGUCCUUGUCUCCUCUGACAUCAGCUGGACGCACCAUUUCUCUCCAAACCACAAACUCCCCUGAGCUGCCCUUUCUCUGGGAAUGCAUAGCUGUCGGGAUCCCCACGGGCUAUCACCUGCCAGGUUGAGGUCUGGCAGGAGUCUUCCUACCUCAUGACAAAGCUUCAACCCUCUCCAGCCAGGAGACACUUAACUCUGCUCAUUGCCCCUUUGAAGCUUGUGAUAUGAACAGACCCACAUCCAGUACCAUCUCUGCAUCAAAAAGCUUUGGUUACGAGUGAGGGAAAUCAGCUAAAACGCACUUAUGCAAAAAAGGGACAAAAUGAACUCUCAUUAACUGGACAGUUCAAAAAGGGGAGGCUUCAGGCAUGGCUCGAUCCAGAGGUCAAACUCCUGCUGGUUGCUCUUGGUCUCCGUCUUACUCUCAGUUGGUGUUCAGGGCCAUGCAUGUUGCCUCCACAUUUUGGCAAACAUGUACUCUGGGCCCUGGGGGCUGAAGUCAUCCACAGCUCUAGUGACUGCACACCUCAGCGACCUCUGCUUCCUCUGAGGUGAGCCUGGCAGGAGCACGUCCACAGGCAGUCACCAGAAAUGAAGCCACUCAGGACUGUCACAGAGCCACAAGUGUCCAAGCCAAAAAGUCAAAGUGUAAAAAGGAAGAGGGAGCCCCCUCCACCCCUGCCUGAGGUGUUUAAACAUGGCGAACACGGAUAACUAAAUGCCAUUCAAUCAAACCUUACUUUCUAUUCCUUCUCUGUCAUCGAGGGGCACAGCUCUGAGGGUAGAACAUUUAGCAUCUCAUUAACAAUGGCCGUGUGCUGCUGAAUAUCCGAGUGGGAAGCCAGAGUUUGCAGAGAAGCUUCGUGUGUGCUCCAGCCCAUCGAGUGCCUGUUUACGGAGCAGGUGACAGGAUUGAGGCUUCACCCGCUGCCUCCACAUGUACAGCCAUCGUGCAGGGCUCCUGCCGCGUUCAAAGGCAUUACGUUAUCUCUCAAGGGAAAGUCAUACUUUUAAAAUACAAAAUUCUCUUUUAUGCAGCAAAAUUGCUGUCAUACAUAUUUCAAUGGAAAAUUAAGUGUUGUAAUAAAAUAUAACAAGGAUGAUAAAGGCAUGUAGUAUUUUAUGCCAUCGAAUGCCAUUAUACCAUCCCAUACAAUAAAUUGGUACUGCUCUAAGUAACCUUCAAAACAAUUUAGUGCUA